AUUGAACGCUGGCGGCAGGCCUAACACAUGCAAGUCGAGCGGAUGAAGGGAGCUUGCUCCUGGAUUCAGCGGCGGACGGGUGAGUAAUGCCUAGGAAUCUGCCUGGUAGUGGGGGAUAACGUCCGGAAACGGGCGCUAAUACCGCACACGUCCUGAGGGAGAAAGUGGGGGAUCUUCGGACCUCACGCUAUCAGAUGAGCCUAGGUCGGAUUAGCUAGUUGGUGGGGUAAAGGCCUACCAAGGCGACGAUCCGUAACUGGUCUGAGAGGAUGAUCAGUCACACUGGAACUGAGACACGGUCCAGACUCCUACGGGAGGCAGCAGUGGGGAAUAUUGGACAAUGGGCGAAAGCCUGAUCCAGCCAUGCCGCGUGUGUGAAGAAGGUCUUCGGAUUGUAAAGCACUUUAAGUUGGGAGGAAGGGCAGUAAGUUAAUACCUUGCCGUUUUGACGUUACCAACAGAAUAAGCACCGGCUAACUUCGUG
This 484-nucleotide ribosomal RNA is filed under the name uncultured bacterium. RNAcentral describes it as "partial 16S ribosomal RNA". It matches the Rfam family "Bacterial small subunit ribosomal RNA", at positions 30 to 507 of the family's 1533-position model. The record is from RNAcentral.